CAGCACCUCAAGUGGUCAGGAUGAUUAUUGGGCCUAAAGCAUCCGUAGCCGGCGCUGUAAGUUUUCGGUUAAAUCUGUACGCUCAACGUACAGGCUGCCGGGAAUACUGCAGCGCUAGGGAGUGGGAGAGGUAGACGGUACUCGGUAGGAAGGGGUAAAAUCCUUUGAUCUAUUGAUGACCACCUGUGGCGAAGGCGGUCUACCAGAACACGUCCGACGGUGAGGGAUGAAGGCUAAGGGAGCGAGCCGGAUUAGAGACCCGAGUAGUCC
This 270-nucleotide ribosomal RNA is filed under the name uncultured archaeon. Its description in RNAcentral is "partial 16S ribosomal RNA". It matches the Rfam family "Archaeal small subunit ribosomal RNA", at positions 477 to 747 of the family's 1478-position model. The record is from RNAcentral.